RNAcentral lists this ribosomal RNA (1477 nucleotides) under Perccottus glenii (Chinese sleeper). RNAcentral describes it as "partial 16S ribosomal RNA". It matches the Rfam family "Bacterial large subunit ribosomal RNA", at positions 405 to 2574 of the family's 2925-position model. The record is from RNAcentral. Lineage: Eukaryota; Metazoa; Chordata; Actinopteri; Gobiiformes; Odontobutidae.
CACCCCAAUAGCUAGCCCAACCCUUAAAAAACAACAAUUCAACAUUAAUAAACCCCAAUAACCAUUAUUUUAUAAAACAAACCAUUUUUCCACCCUAGUAUGGGAGACAGAAAAGGACUUCUGGAGCAAUAGAAAUAGUACCGCAAGGGAAAGCUGAAAGAGAAAUGAAAUAAUUGAUAAAGGAAUAAAUAGCAGAGAUUAAUUCUCGUACCUUUUGCAUCAUGAAUUAGCCAGUAAACCCAAGCAAAGCGCCCUUUAGUUUGAAACCCCGAAACUAAGUGAGCUACUCCAAGGCAGCCUAUAUUAGGGCAAACCCGUCUCUGUGGCAAAAGAGUGGGAAGACCUUUGAGUAGAGGUGACAGACCUACCGAACUUAGUUAUAGCUGGUUGCCUGAGAACUGAAUAGAAGUUCAGCCUUUUGAUUUCUCUAAUUAAGUCUGGCACCGCCCAAUCCAAAUUAAAAGAAGAUCAAAAGAGUUAGUCGAAGGGGGUACAGCCCCCUCGAAACAAGAUACAACUUUAUAAAGGAGGAAAAAGAUCAAAUCAAACUAGGCAUUAUGUUUUGGUGGGCCUAAAAGCAGCCACCCUAUUAGAAAGCGUUAAAGCUCAAACAUAACAUAUCCUAUUAUUACGACAAUAUUAUCUUAAACCCCUACACCUAUCAGGCCAUCCCAUGCCUACAUGGGAGAGACCCUGCUAACAUGAGUAAUAAGAGGGCUAAGGCCCUCUCCUGGCACCAGUGUAAAUCAGAACAAACCCCUACUGAAAAUUAACGCCCCCAAUUGAAGAGGGUAUUGAAAGAGCACCCAUUAAAGCUAGAAAACUCCUCAAAAAAUAAACGUUAACCCCACACAGGUGUGCCUAAGGAAAGACCUAAAGGAAAAGAAGGAACUCGGCAAACACUAGCCUCGCCUGUUUACCAAAAACAUCGCCUCUUGCAUAUAUUUGUAUAAGAGGUCCCGCCUGCCCUGUGACUAUAAGUUUAACGGCCGCGGUAUUUUGACCGUGCGAAGGUAGCGCAAUCACUUGUCUUUUAAAUGGAGACCUGUAUGAAUGGCAUAACGAGGGCUAAGCUGUCUCCUUUUCCUAGUCAAUGAAAUUGAUCUACCCGUGCAGAAGCGGGUAUACUUACGUAAGACGAGAAGACCCUAUGGAGCUUAAGACACCAGGACAGACCAUGUUAAAUAACCCUAUAAAGGAUUAAACCAAAUGAAUACUGUCCCCCUGUCUUUGGUUGGGGCGACCGCGGGGAAACAGAAAACCCCCACGUGGAAUAGGGACAAUGUCCCUUAAAGCCAGAGCCACAGCUCUAACAAACAGAACCUCUGACCAACAAGAUCCGGCACCGCCGAUCAACGGACCGAGUUACCCUAGGGAUAACAGCGCAAUCCCCUUUUAGAGCCCAUAUCGACAAGGGGGUUUACGACCUCGAUGUUGGAUCAGGACAUCCUAAUGGUGCAGCCGCUAUUAAGGGUUC